GGUCUGCAACUCGACCCCAUGAAGUCGGAGUCGCUAGUAAUCGCAGAUCAGCAACGCUGCGGUGAAUACGUUCCCGGGCCUUGUACACACCGCCCGUCAAGUCACGAAAGUUGGUAACACCCAAAGCCGGUGGCCUAACCUUUUUGGAGGGAGCCGUCUAAGGUGGGAUUGGCGAUUGGGACUAAGUCGUAACAAGGUAGCCGUACCGGAAGGUGCGGCUGGAUCACCUCCUUU
RNAcentral lists this ribosomal RNA (234 nucleotides) under Rothia mucilaginosa. Its description in RNAcentral is "partial 16S ribosomal RNA". It matches the Rfam family "Bacterial small subunit ribosomal RNA", at positions 1302 to 1533 of the family's 1533-position model. Lineage: Bacteria; Bacillati; Actinomycetota; Actinomycetes; Micrococcales; Micrococcaceae. The record is from RNAcentral.